This 250-nucleotide ribosomal RNA is filed under the name uncultured bacterium. Its description in RNAcentral is "partial 16S ribosomal RNA". It matches the Rfam family "Bacterial small subunit ribosomal RNA", at positions 525 to 775 of the family's 1533-position model. The record is from RNAcentral.
ACGUAGGUGGCAAGCGUUGUCCGGAAUUAUUGGGCGUAAAGCGCGCGCAGGCGGAUCUGCCAGUCUGUCUUAAAAGUUCGGGGCUCAACCCCGUGAUGGGAUGGAAACUACAGAUCUAGAGUAUCGGAGGGGAAAGUGGAAUUCCUAGUGUAGCGGUGAAAUGCGUAGAUAUUAGGAGGAACACCAGUGGCGAAGGCGACUUUCUGGACGAUCACUGACGCUGAGGCGCGAAAGCCAGGGGAGCGAACGG